This 84-nucleotide transfer RNA is filed under the name Thermoproteota archaeon. RNAcentral describes it as "tRNA-Leu". It matches the Rfam family "tRNA". Rfam says of the family: Transfer RNA (tRNA) molecules are approximately 80 nucleotides in length. Their secondary structure includes four short double-helical elements and three loops (D, anti-codon, and T loops). Lineage: Archaea; Thermoproteati; Thermoproteota. The record is from RNAcentral.
GCGGGGGUUCCCGAGCCAGGACAAAGGGGCAGGACUUAAGAUCCUGUGCGAAGAGCUUCGUGGGUUCAAAUCCCACCCCCCGCA